UACGGAGGAUGCAAGCGUUAUCCGGAUUUAUUGGGUUUAAAGGGUGCGUAGGCUGUUCGUCAAGUCAGAGGUGAAAUACCUGAGCCUAACUCAGGAACUGCCUUUGAUACUGGCGAGCUGGAAUACGGAUGCCGUGGGAGGAAUGAGUAGUGUAGCGGUGAAAUGCAUAGAUAUUACUCAGAACACCGAUUGCGAAGGCAUCUCACGAAUCCGUCAUUGACGCUGAGGCACGAAAGCGUGGGGAU
RNAcentral lists this ribosomal RNA (245 nucleotides) under uncultured Bacteroidales bacterium. Its description in RNAcentral is "partial 16S ribosomal RNA". It matches the Rfam family "Bacterial small subunit ribosomal RNA", at positions 524 to 768 of the family's 1533-position model. The record is from RNAcentral. Lineage: Bacteria; Pseudomonadati; Bacteroidota; Bacteroidia; Bacteroidales.